AAAAAAACUUUCACAUUAUCUGCGUCGCACGUCUUUAAGUUGCAAAAGACUAAUUUGCAUCGCACCUUAUUUAACGUGCGACGCAUAUCGGACCUUAAAUCUCCCAUAAGGCCCACUUUCCUCUUUAUUUCAAAGCCAACCCUAAAAAAUACUCUAUCUCCACGCCGUCAUUCAUCUCCCCUCUCUCUCUCACUCCCCUCUUUGUUCUUUUGACUUCAUGGGUUUUUCAAUCCUUUCAAAUCUAGACAUAUCCCUAAAUUCCAUCUCCAUUAAGCAAUAAUUUCAAUGGACCAAACCCUAAUUUUCGAAUUAAGUUCCGACGAUGAAGUGGGCCUCGAUAAUUCUUCCAUCGUAGAUAAAUUCGUGUAGGUAACGAAGCGAACUGAAGAUGUUGGUGCUGAAGAUCAUGAAUUCAACGAACUGCCCUCUACCUUCUAUUACUUUCCAUGCAAAUCACUUGGCGAUUUUGAAGAACAACGAACACCAACGUGAUUUUGGCAAGACAGACUUAUUCACGCAUCUCAAGAUUUUAAUUCGUGCUGAUAAUUCUUCAAGAAUUCGAUUGGAUCUAAAAAUGGAAACCCAGGAGUUCAAAGAAGUUGCGAGUUCGACGAAUUAUGUUUAUUUUCUGUUCAAAGAAUUCGAUUCGGACCAUUUUAUUUUCAGUUCUCGAUUUUCAGAUCUGGUGGAGGAAGAAAAAGAAGAUGACAGUGAAGAUCUAGUAUUGUUGAUUGUUUUAGAUUUUAGGUUUUUUUGUAUUAGAUUUAAUUUUGUUUCUUUGGGUCAUAUUUUUUAAUUUUGUUUCAGACACAUGAAAUUAAGUUAUCCAAGUUGUAUUGUUAAUUUUGUUGCUUGUUGAUCUCAAUGGAAUGGAAGAAAAUUUUUAAUUUCGUUUCA
Molecule: long non-coding RNA, 897 nt
Organism: Beta vulgaris subsp. vulgaris (sugar beet)
Lineage: Eukaryota; Viridiplantae; Streptophyta; Magnoliopsida; Caryophyllales; Amaranthaceae
Exons: 2
Source: RefSeq, a predicted model, not a curated record